RNAcentral lists this small nucleolar RNA (72 nucleotides) under Tupaia belangeri (northern tree shrew). Its description in RNAcentral is "Small nucleolar RNA R38 (ENSTBEG00000018386.1)". Lineage: Eukaryota; Metazoa; Chordata; Mammalia; Scandentia; Tupaiidae. The record is from RNAcentral.
UUAAGCCUAUGAUGGCUAGUUAUACCAGUCUGAAAAUCAACUGAGGAAAAAAUAAUUUGUUCUGAGGCUUGA